UUGAAGUAUGCGGGAGAGAUCGUAUUAAAUUACGACGCCGAAGGAUUAAGUUUUUUUCACCGAAAAAAAGUGAUGAUCUCAGGCAAAAGGACCGUUUAUGGACA
This 104-nucleotide non-coding RNA is filed under the name Clostridiales bacterium. RNAcentral describes it as "Glycine sequence". It matches the Rfam family "Glycine riboswitch aptamer". From Rfam's summary of the family: This family represents the bacterial glycine riboswitch. Glycine riboswitches usually consist of two metabolite-binding aptamers domains with similar structures in tandem. Lineage: Bacteria; Bacillati; Bacillota; Clostridia; Eubacteriales. The record is from RNAcentral.